GCCGUGGUGGUGCAGUGGUCAGCACACCCGACCUGGUAUCCUAAGUUCCUACGCUCGCGCAUACCUAAGUUCCUAAGUCUCUCUCUCUCGAGGGUCGGGAGGUCGCAGGUUCGAAUCCUGCUCACGGUG
RNAcentral lists this transfer RNA (129 nucleotides) under Aureobasidium namibiae CBS 147.97. It matches the Rfam family "tRNA". Rfam says of the family: Transfer RNA (tRNA) molecules are approximately 80 nucleotides in length. Their secondary structure includes four short double-helical elements and three loops (D, anti-codon, and T loops). Further hydrogen bonds mediate the characteristic L-shaped molecular structure. tRNAs have two regions of fundamental functional importance: the anti-codon, which is responsible for specific mRNA codon recognition, and the 3' end, to which the tRNAs corresponding amino acid is attached (by aminoacyl-tRNA synthetases). tRNAs cope with the degeneracy of the genetic code in two manners: having more than one tRNA (with a specific anti-codon) for a particular amino acid; and 'wobble' base-pairing, i.e. permitting non-standard base-pairing at the 3rd anti-codon position. Lineage: Eukaryota; Fungi; Ascomycota; Dothideomycetes; Dothideales; Saccotheciaceae. The record is from Rfam by way of RNAcentral.